GAUGAACGCUAGCGGCAGGCUUAAUACAUGCAAGUCGAGGGGCAGCAGGUCCCGCAGCAUUGCGGGAUGCUGGCGACCGGCAAACGGGUGCGGAACACGUACAGAACCUUCCUUUAAGUGGGGAAUAGCCCGGGGAAACCCGGAUUAAUACCCCGUAACAUAAUGAAGUGGCAUCACUUUAUUAUUAUAGCAGCAAUGCGCUUGAAGAUGGCUGUGCGGCUGAUUAGGUAGUUGGCGGGGUAACGGCCCACCAAGCCUACGAUCAGUAACUGGGUGGAGAGAACGACCAGUCACACGGGCACUGGGACACGGGCCCGACUCCUACGGGAGGCAGCAGUAAGGAAUAUUGGGCAAUGGACGCAAGUCUGACCCAGCCAUGCCGCGUGGAGGAUGAAGGUCCUCUGGAUUGUAAACUUCUUUUAUCUGGGAAGAAAUCUAUUUUUUCUAAAGUAGUUGACGGUACCAGAUGAAUAAGCACCGGCUAACUCCGUGCCAGCCGCCGCAGUAA
Molecule: ribosomal RNA, 508 nt
Filed under: uncultured bacterium
Lineage: Bacteria
Description: partial 16S ribosomal RNA
Rfam family: Bacterial small subunit ribosomal RNA
Source: RNAcentral